Molecule: signal recognition particle RNA, 97 nt
Filed under: Halothiobacillaceae bacterium
Lineage: Bacteria; Pseudomonadati; Pseudomonadota; Gammaproteobacteria; Chromatiales; Halothiobacillaceae
Description: signal recognition particle sRNA small type
Rfam family: Bacterial small signal recognition particle RNA
About the family: The signal recognition particle (SRP) is a universally conserved ribonucleoprotein involved in the co-translational targeting of proteins to membranes. Archaeal SRP consists of a 7S RNA and homologues of the eukaryotic SRP19 and SRP54 proteins. In most bacteria, the SRP consists of a 4.5S RNA and the Ffh protein (a homologue of the eukaryotic SRP54 protein).
Source: RNAcentral
UGCUCGUCCCUCCGUGACGAAUCACCGUAAACCCCGCCAGGCCCGGAAGGGAGCAACGGUAGCGGUCGAUUCGGGCGCCGGAGAUCGGCGGGUGCAG